RNAcentral lists this unclassified non-coding RNA (241 nucleotides) under uncultured fungus. RNAcentral describes it as "sequence contains ITS1". Lineage: Eukaryota; Fungi. The record is from RNAcentral.
CCAUUUUCACGCGUUAAUCCGCCCUGCUCAACAAACCACUGAUAACCAUCAUCGGCCAACAUUUGCGUCCACAGAUAAGCGUAAUAACCUGCAGCAUAUCCGCCACCAAAAAUAUGGGCGAAAUAACUGCUGCGAUAGCGUGGCGGUAUAGCAGGAAGAUCCAUAUUUUCCGCCACCAGCGCCCGCAAUUCAAAAUCAUCGACAUCCUGCAUUGCUUCGUUUUCUUCCAGGCAAUGCCAGC